RNAcentral lists this long non-coding RNA (1203 nucleotides) under Mytilus galloprovincialis (Mediterranean mussel). The record is from RNAcentral. Lineage: Eukaryota; Metazoa; Mollusca; Bivalvia; Mytilida; Mytilidae.
GCAUUUGGGGGUUUAAAUCUAAGUUUUUUUUCCUGUUUUCUCAAUUUAUAAACAGACAAUUUUAGACCUGAUAAUAUAUUGAAAUGAGAGUCCAUAAUGUUAAAUGUAACUCAUCUUCCCAUUUUUACUUAUCAAGAGUAAAACAGCAGAUGCCAUGACUAAAGCAGAGAAACAGCUUUCCCUCACAGAGCAUCCUGCGAUGAAAUGGAAUUUGUGUUGGUUAAUCUUAGUGUUCUGUGUAGCUAACAACAGGUUUUUUGUAAUUUUUCUUUAGGCUAAUUAGGUCUUUCCACUUUUCUGUGGAAAGACCUAUUGUUUUUCUUCUGAUUAUUUUUUUUUUCUUCCGCCAAAUUUUGUUCUUGCGAUAAACAUUUGUUUCUCAGUAUGUCGCUUAGAUAUUUGGUAUAUGAUAUCGAACAGUUUAUGCGCUUUUGAAAUUUACCCUGCGUAACCGAAUACUUUUCUUUAUAGGAGUUAUCUCCCCAAACACUGUUUUCCUUGUGUCCACAACUCUUUCGCAACCGUAAAAGAUUACGACAAAUUUAUUUUACAAAAUUGCUCGUUAUAUACUUCUCAUGAUUUGUCCUAUUUUGACCGAAGCGAUAUGAACGCUCCAUAUGAGAGUUAUUUCCCCUUAUGCAUUUGACAUAAGUGAUAUGCAUUUCUAUCUUGUAAACCAUAAGUGAUAGAGACCUAGGAUCUUUUGAUUUGAGGUCCUUGGUCCAAAAAAAUGAAAAUAAGGUCAAGGUCAAAGGUCAAGGUCAUAUUCUAAUUUUUGAAUUUGGCUUAUUUUCACUCAUUUUCAGAAAUCUUAUAAGAUAUCGACAAAAUAUUUUCACAAAAUUGUUAGUUACGACAUGUCGUAACACAUAAAUCUUAGUCGAAAGAGUACAUAGACAUUUGGCGAGAGUUUUUCCCCUUUUUAUAUCUAAUAUCAUACGUAUGGAGGACUAGAGUCUUUUUAUUUGAGGUCCUUGGUUUAUGACCUUGAAAUUGAGCUCAAGGUCAUAUGCUUAUUUAACGCUCUAGAUUUUGACCUUUGCUUUUACCUCAUAUGUACACAUGAUAAAGCCAUGGGACUUUUUGCAUUAGGCUGUAAGCAAUGUGACCCUUAAAAAAACAACCGGAAGUGACAUUUUGUCAAUCGGAAGUAGCCAUUUUUUGUACUAAUCAAUGUAAAAGUACAAAGAACCAUAUAUUUUU